This 253-nucleotide ribosomal RNA is filed under the name uncultured bacterium. RNAcentral describes it as "partial 16S ribosomal RNA". It matches the Rfam family "Bacterial small subunit ribosomal RNA", at positions 524 to 776 of the family's 1533-position model. The record is from RNAcentral.
UACAGAGGGUGCAAGCGUUGUUCGGAAUUAUUGGGCGUAAAGCGCGUGUAGGCGGCUUUGCAAGUCGGGUGUGAAAGCCCUCAGCUCAACUGAGGAAGUGCGCCCGAAACUGCAGAGCUUGAGUGCCGGGGAGGGUGGCGGAAUUCCCCAAGUAGAGGUGAAAUUCGUAGAUAUCGGGAGGAACACCAGUGGCGAAGGCGGCGAUCUGGGAAGAUACUGACGCUGAGGUGCGAAAGCGUGGGGAGCGAACAGG